This 208-nucleotide unclassified non-coding RNA is filed under the name root metagenome. Its description in RNAcentral is "partial contains small subunit ribosomal RNA, internal transcribed spacer 1, and 5.8S ribosomal RNA". The record is from RNAcentral.
UCUCCGUAGGUGAACCUGCGGAGGGAUCAUUACUGAGUGAGGGCCUCCGGGUCCGACCUCCAACCCUUUGUGAACCAAUCUUGUUGCUUCGGGGGCGACCCUGCCGCUUCGGCGGUGCGGCGCCCCCGGAGGCCAUCAAACACUGCAUCAUUGCGUCGGAGUAAAAGUAAAUGAAACAAAACUUUCAACAACGGAUCUCUUGGUUCCA